ACUAAAAUAGUUUAAAUAAAAUAUUGAUUUGUGGAGUCGAAGAUGUGAUAUAGCUCAUUUUUAGUU
This 66-nucleotide transfer RNA is filed under the name Telchinia polis. RNAcentral describes it as "Acraea polis tRNA-His". It matches the Rfam family "tRNA". From Rfam's summary of the family: Transfer RNA (tRNA) molecules are approximately 80 nucleotides in length. Their secondary structure includes four short double-helical elements and three loops (D, anti-codon, and T loops). Further hydrogen bonds mediate the characteristic L-shaped molecular structure. tRNAs have two regions of fundamental functional importance: the anti-codon, which is responsible for specific mRNA codon recognition, and the 3' end, to which the tRNAs corresponding amino acid is attached (by aminoacyl-tRNA synthetases). tRNAs cope with the degeneracy of the genetic code in two manners: having more than one tRNA (with a specific anti-codon) for a particular amino acid; and 'wobble' base-pairing, i.e. permitting non-standard base-pairing at the 3rd anti-codon position. Lineage: Eukaryota; Metazoa; Arthropoda; Insecta; Lepidoptera; Nymphalidae. The record is from RNAcentral.